Molecule: long non-coding RNA, 1012 nt
Filed under: Cicer arietinum (chickpea)
Lineage: Eukaryota; Viridiplantae; Streptophyta; Magnoliopsida; Fabales; Fabaceae
Description: long non-coding RNA (CARI_LNC001599)
Source: RNAcentral
CUUCUUCUUAAAAUUGGAUAAUAGAGUACUACCUCUAUCUCUCAUUAAAAGCGUUCAUUGACAAAAUAAUUGUCUUUAAUGUAAGUCAGUUUUCAUACAAAAACGGUAAUAUUGUCGAACUUAAAUACAACAGAAAUAUUUGAGUAAAUUUUAAAUUAAAAAAUAUUAUAAUUUAAUUAUAUCAGUGAUUUAUUUUGAAGUUAAAAAAAAAUCAUAUUUUAAUUAUAUUUAUAUUCAAUAGUGUUAAAGUUUUUUAAUGGAAAUUGAAUAAAAUGAUAAAAAAAUUAUAACUAUAAAUACAUUAUUUAAACUUAAAUAAUAUUUUAGCCAUUUUUUAAUUUAAAAUUAACGUAUUAAUUAUCCUACAAUUUUGUUUUUAAUUGAUAGAGGUGAAAUUAUUUAGAGACCGAGGCGGUACUAGAAUGAAAGUAGCGGUUGACAAUUCCAUUGGAUUGACGAAGAGAGCAGUUAGCACACGAGGGAUUGAGUGAGUGCCGAGUGGGGGCAACUCGACCGGCAAAUAGGUUGGAAGGGGACAUGCGGCCCCAUUCAUUAUCACUAAAUGCCAAAAGUUACUCUUGCAGAAACUAAAAUGUCCUUGAAACAAAUAGUUAAUCCAAUGCCAAUUAGCCCCGCUUUGCAACCGCUUCUCUCUCUCUUUCUCUUAUUAUCCUCCCACAUCGUCUAUAUACUACAAUAUCAAAUAUAAGUUUAAAUUUAAUAUAUUUUAUUUAAACUCUAAGUUAAAUAUAAUUUUUUUAAUUAAUUUAUAUUUAAAUUUAAAAUAGAGAAAGUACCGCACAAGGACGUAUCUUGUAUUUCUAUAUGCUCUUGUCUUGAGUUAUUUGUGGAAUAUAGACUCAAGUUUUGUUUUAGUUUUCUAUUUUUAUUAAUUAAUAAAAUCAAUAUUUUUAAUCUAAAAUUUAAUUAUUUUAUUUUAUUAUUCUAAUUAAAAAAUGAUGAUAUAAUAAAUUUUACAUAAUAUAAUAUAUGAUAUAAAAUUAUUAAAUCA